AACCCCAGGGUGAGGGAGGCGCAGACUCCGCUGCCCCGGGGUCUGGGGGGCCCGGGGUGCGGGGCGGAGGCGCAAGCCAGUCGCCCUCGGAGGGGACGACGCCGUUGAGUGGCCCGGGCCGGGGCGCUGGCGGGGACAGCGAGAAGCGCACGUGAGCCCGGGGAUUAGAGCUGUGGUCGAGAGCGCGGUUCCGGCGUCAGGAGGGGGUCGAUGAAGGUCGAUUGUCGGAUCAGCGCUGGUUCUAGAAACAUCCCGCGGCGGAGCGCAGGGCGGAGCGGAGCCGGGAGGCCCAGGGAGGAAAUGGCUGAAGUCGUCCGGGCCCAGGUUUCCAUGUGAGGGCUGUGAACUAGAAGCCGGGACAAAAGGCCAGCAAGACACAAAGAUCAUGGCCCAGCAGACAGGCCAAUGAGACAGGAUGAGGUGAUCAGUCGUUCACAGGUGAUGCUAGGUUUCCUUUUUAAUGCUCCAUUGUGCCCUACUGAGGGAAACCGCUGUCUGAACAGGAAGACACGACAGAUGCCUAACCCGCUUCCCAGCUCCAUCCCCGUGUGUGUGUGUAGCCCAAGAACAGGGAGAUCAUCACUCUCACCUCUAACACGAAGGCUUCUACCUUGGAGGUACCAUUUCCCUCUUCAAGGGGGCAGGAACAGUCUUACAAGUCACUUACUAUGUAAGACCAUGAAAUGAAUGAUGCAGCUGUACAACCAAGGGCAGGACCUCCUGGUGGCGCAGUGGUUAAGAAUGCACCUGCCAACGCAGGGGACACGGGUUCGAGCCCCGAUCGGGAAGAUCCCACAUGCCGCGGAGCAACUAAGCCCCUGGGGCAGAACUACUGAGCCCGUAUGCCUAGAGCCCGUGCUCCACAACAAGAGAAGCCACCGCAAUGAGAAGGCCAAGCACCGCAACGAAGAAUAGCCCCCGCUUGCCGCAACUAGAGAAAGCCCACGCACAGCAACAAAGACCCAACGCAGCCAAAAAUAAAUAAAUAAAUAAAUAAAUUUUUUAAAAAUUGUUUAAAAAAA
Molecule: long non-coding RNA, 1022 nt
Organism: Balaenoptera ricei (Rice's whale)
Lineage: Eukaryota; Metazoa; Chordata; Mammalia; Artiodactyla; Balaenopteridae
Exons: 5
Source: RefSeq, a predicted model, not a curated record